Long non-coding RNA from Lutra lutra (Eurasian river otter), 1761 nucleotides. RefSeq lists it as uncharacterized. NCBI's taxonomy places the organism in Eukaryota, Metazoa, Chordata, Mammalia, Carnivora, Mustelidae. The transcript has 2 exons. The record is from RefSeq and is a predicted model, not a curated record.
GGGACACAAAAAAUACCUGUAAAAGGCACAGUCACUCGCUUAAGGAGCUCAUACCCUUGAUGGGGUAUGGAGAACUUGGGACAAACACAUAGACAUAAAACUAUAAGUUGACUAAAAUGGGGCUCAGUGCUCACAGAUGGAGCAGACGUUUUAAGAGCGUGAGAAUGAAGAAACAUGAGAAAGCCAGAAGGAUCUCUGGUCGCCGAAGGCAUCGUGAAGCUGCCAUACCACCCUACUCUACCUACCUCCAGAUUUCUUGCUAUGAGGAAAAAUAAAAGCAAUUUAGUUGAACUAGUAUGGGGGAGAGGAGCCCUCCUGACUUAAGUUUCUGAUUCCACAGCUUGGGGUAGGGCCCUGAAGCCUGCAUCUUUAGGACCGGCUUCAAGUGAUUCUCAUGCUGGUAACCCAAGGAUCAUCCUGAAGGAACUCUUGUUUGGCAUGUGUAUAUAGGAGAUUUCAUGAUAACUGGACUGCAAGGGUAGCAAUUCAAGUAAUAAAUUACUAGGAGUAUGUAGAAGCUUACAAAUGACAGGGCGCCUAGGUGGUUCAGUUGGUUAAGUGCCUGACUCUUGAUUUUGGCUCAGGUCAUGGUCUCAGGGUCAUAGGCUUGAGCCCUGUCUCCAGCUCCAUACUCAGCCUGGAGUCUGGUUGUCCCUCUCCCUCUGCUCCCCAACCUCUCGCUCCGCAAUCCACAUGUUCCCCAGCACUAGGUCAAUGCACCCCCCCAUACGAAGGUACACAAAAUAACAGUUGAGUAAAUGCACAAAUGAAUAAGUGAGCAAUGUUGAAGAUAGUCUUUAUUUCACAGAAGAUUGUAGGUAUUUGUUUCCUAGGACUGUCAGAACAAAUUGUCACAAACUUGGUGACUUAAAACAAUAGAGAUUUAUUUUGUCAUAGUUCUGGAGGCUAGCAGUCUGAAAUCAAGCUGAGCCAAGCUCCGUUUGAAGGCUGUAAGGAAGAAUCCUUCCUCUUCUCCUAGCUUCUGAUGGCUCCAGCAAACCCUGGUGUUCCUUGGGCUAUAGCCCCUUUCCUCCAGUCUUUCACUUCAUCAUCACAUGACCUUCCCCCUCUGUGUGCGUCUUGUGUCCUCUUCUCUUCUUAGAAGGACACCAGUCAUUGGAUUGAGCACCCACCUUGGUCCACUAUAACCUAACCUUAACUAAUUACACCUGCUAAGACUUUAUUCCCAAAUGAGGUUACCUUCAGGUGGAUGUGAAUUUGAGGGAGGACACUAUUCAGACCACUACAUUUUGUUUGCAGGACAUUCUUCAGAAUGCUUCAAGAGUUUUUUUGUUUUUUGUUUUGUUUUGUUUUUUUUUUUUGCCAAUACAUCUUUAACAGUUCAUAGGAUUUGUAACUUAAUUGUAUUUGCUAAAGCAUAACCUGGAGAACUAAAAGAAAUUUGGGUGUGGUCAUAUAACCAAUAUCAAUUAUGGUUGAAGUAUCCUGGAAUACGAAGGGCAGCCAGAAAAACAGGAAUAGGAAAAUGCCCAAAUUUUCAUAAGAAAAAUAAAGACCAAUCCAGGAACUGCUGUUUCCUGCCAACUCUGUGCGUAUGUAAAUGGCUGGGACCUGGUUGGUUAGUUUCCUGUAUAGCCUCCUGUUCCCAAGGAAAGACUCGAUGGUUAGAAUGCCCUUGGGCUCAGCAGUUUGCAUAAGUUGUUUAUUAAGGGUUAGGAACACUAUUACUUUGCUUAUGUUAAGUAGAUAAGGAUCUGAGAGAGGCUUCUUGAGGGUUUUAAUUAAAAUAAACUGCUGACA